This 253-nucleotide ribosomal RNA is filed under the name uncultured bacterium. Its description in RNAcentral is "partial 16S ribosomal RNA". It matches the Rfam family "Bacterial small subunit ribosomal RNA", at positions 524 to 776 of the family's 1533-position model. The record is from RNAcentral.
GACAGAGGCCCCAAGCGUUAGGCGGAAUCACUGGGCUUAAAGCGUGUGUAGGCGGAUCGUUAAGUGUCUUGUGAAAUCCCACGGCUCACCCGUGGAACGGCUGGGCAUACUGGCGAUCUUGGGCCAACUAGGGGCAGUCGGAACAAGCGGUGGAGCGGUGAAAUGCGUAGGUAUCGCUUGGAACGCCGAAGGUGAAAACAGACUGCUGGGGUUGCGCCGACGCUGAGACACGAAAGCCAGGGGAGCAAACGGG